This 468-nucleotide ribosomal RNA is filed under the name uncultured bacterium. RNAcentral's name for it is "partial 16S ribosomal RNA". It matches the Rfam family "Bacterial small subunit ribosomal RNA", at positions 28 to 507 of the family's 1533-position model. The record is from RNAcentral.
GACGAACGCUGGCGGCGUGCUUAACUCAUUCAAGUUGAACGGAGAGUCCCUGCUUUUUUGGGGUGCUCUAGUGGCGAACGUGUGAGUAACACGUGAGUAACCUGCCCUUGACUUUGGGAUAACUUCAGGAACCUGGGGCUCAUACCGGAUAGGAGCUCCUGCUGCAUGGUGGGGGUUGGAAAGUUUCGGCGGUUGGGGAUGGACUCGCGGAUUAUCAGCUUGUUGGUGGGGUAGGGGCUUACCAAGGCUUUGACGGGUAGCCGGCCUGAGAGGGUGACCGGCCCCAUUGGGACUGAGAUAGGGCCGAGACUCCUACGGGAGGAAGCAGUGGGGAAGAUUGCACAAUGGGCGGAAGCCUGAUGCAGCAACGCCGCGUGCGGGAUGAAGGCGUGGGGGUUGUAAGCCGCGUUCGCCUGUGGCGAAGCGUGUGUGACGGUAAUGGGUAAAGAAGCAACGGCUAACUACGUG